CUCGUUUCAGUGCUGUUUUGGGUGCACAAGUAAACACUGCCUGUGAAACUUGCAUUUUUGCCUUGAUUCUCAGUGUUCUUUCAGAUUAUAAAUCUGGCUUGCCUCUUUGUCCCAGCACUAACCAUGAGUUUGAGAUGAGAGAGAUCAUCACUCAGCCACCAAUCUGUGUUUAAGUGAUGAGAGCCAUGUGCCUAUGUGAAAUAAGCUUAGGGGAUUUGGGGAUGGAGAGCAGAAAACUAAAUCUAAAUGGUGAUGAUAUAGGACUUAGUUGUAGGAAUUAGUUUAAAAAUAAACAAAUGGUUUAAAAGUACCUAAAUUAGUCCAGUGCCUGUAACUUUGCAUUUUUACUAGAGAUGCAUUUCUCGUCUCUGUGCCUAAAGGGCUAUGGGUUGAAAUUGCUUUAACUACCACAGUGAAAUAUUUGACAAAUCCUACAGCAAUGACCUGUCAUUUAACGUAUUAGUGUACUGCCAAGUAUUUGCGUGAUAUUUUGUUACUUUACAAUGGUUGAAUGCAUUUGAGUUGAAUUAUAAUUGGUGGUAAGGGUUGUAUAUAACUAUCCAAUCUCUAAAGUUUAUGGAGGCAUUGACUUUAUUCCUUGCUGUAUUUUCUGAGUGAUAAAAAUGAUGCAUUCCUUCUUCCCCAAAAAACUCAGCAAAUGUUUGUAACCAGAUUUUCCUUGUUUCACAUGUUUACUGUGUAACACUACAGCAUAUUUAAUAUUAGUAAAAACUGUAAUUUCAGUCAUCAUGCAUAACUACAUUCCUGAGGUAUAUUUACCAUCAGUUUGAGAUUUCAGUUACUUCAUCUUCUGUUUGGUUCAGAAAAACUUGGGCCAUGAGGUGGUAUGCAGGCCAUUUUUUAGAAUAGAUUAUUUUUUGAAUCUGUUAUUUUAUUGGGGAUUUGUUUUCUCUCCCCAUGUUUAGAAGACGAACUAGAAAAGGGUGUGUGUGUGCACAGAAAAGGCCUUUGAUUUGGUGAAUGUAAUUUCUAGGAUUCAAAUUUUUUAAAAUCCAGAUUAUAAAAUGGUAACACUCAAACUUGGUAAGAUCCUUUAAAGUGGAAUAAGUAUGAAAUUUUUAUGGAGCCAAGUACUUUCAAGUCACCCUGGAAAUAGUCUUUUUAUGAGAAGGAUGAACACAAACAUUGGUCAGGAACAUUGACAACCAACAUAUGAAAAGGCCUGGGGUAGUAACUAGGUUACACUAAAGUUAUUUUCAAGUGAGAUAGCUGGAAAAGUGUGCAAACCACCAGCUCCAAUUCUAG
RNAcentral lists this long non-coding RNA (1266 nucleotides) under Marmota monax (woodchuck). Lineage: Eukaryota; Metazoa; Chordata; Mammalia; Rodentia; Sciuridae. The record is from RNAcentral.